GACGAACCGUGCAAACGUUACUCGGAUUCACUGGGCUUAAAGGGCGCGUAGGCGGCUCGCCAAGUCUGGGGUGAAAUCUUUCGGCUCAACCGGAAAAUUGCCUGGGAUACUGGCGGGCUCGAGGGAGGUAGGGGUCACGGGAACGACCAGUGGAGCGGUGAAAUGCGUUGAUAUUGGUCGGAACGCCGGUGGCGAAAGCGCGUGACUGGAUCUCUUCUGACGCUGAGGCGCGAAAGCCAGGGGAGCAAACGGG
RNAcentral lists this ribosomal RNA (253 nucleotides) under uncultured bacterium. Its description in RNAcentral is "partial 16S ribosomal RNA". It matches the Rfam family "Bacterial small subunit ribosomal RNA", at positions 524 to 776 of the family's 1533-position model. The record is from RNAcentral.